This is a non-coding RNA of Mycena rosella, 93 nucleotides long. Lineage: Eukaryota; Fungi; Basidiomycota; Agaricomycetes; Agaricales; Mycenaceae. The record is from the annotation of a GenBank genome assembly.
GACUCGAUAGUGGAUAGCCCACAUCUGCGUCCAAUGGAGAUUAUUCUUUCGAAUAUUCUGCAGGAGAUGCCGGUUCAACUCCGGCUCGAGUCG